CCCUUAAAUUACACCUUCAUCGCCAGGGAACUACGAGCCAAGCUUAAAACCCAAAGGACUUGACGGUACCCCAUAUCCCCCUAGAGGAGCCUGUCCUAUAAUCGAUACCCCCCGCUUAACCUCACCAUUUUUUGCUAAUCAGCCUGUAUACCUCCGUCGUCAGCUUACCACGUGAGCGUCAGUGAGCUCAAUGUUUAUUCAACUAUACGUUAGGUCAAGGUGCAACUUAUACUAUGGAAAGAGAUGGGCUACAUUUUCUAAUUUAGACUACACGAAAGACUGCUAAUGAAAACCAGUCAGAAGGAGGAUUUAGAAGUAAAAGGAAACUAGAGAGUUCCUUUAAAUCCGGCACUGGGGUGCGUACACACCGC
Molecule: ribosomal RNA, 371 nt
Filed under: Anomaloglossus degranvillei (Degranville's rocket frog)
Lineage: Eukaryota; Metazoa; Chordata; Amphibia; Anura; Aromobatidae
Description: partial 12S ribosomal RNA
Rfam family: Bacterial small subunit ribosomal RNA
Source: RNAcentral